RNAcentral lists this ribosomal RNA (465 nucleotides) under uncultured bacterium. RNAcentral's name for it is "partial 16S ribosomal RNA". It matches the Rfam family "Bacterial small subunit ribosomal RNA", at positions 28 to 507 of the family's 1533-position model. The record is from RNAcentral.
GAUGAACGCUGGCGGCGUGCUUAACACAUGCAAGUCGAACGGAAAGGCUCCUGCUUGCAGGGGUACUCGAGUGGCGAACGGGUGAGUAACACGUGGGUGAUCUGCCCUGCACUUCGGGAUAAGCCUGGGAAACUGGGUCUAAUACCGGAUAGGGCCACAUUUUGGAUGGUGUGGUGGAGAGUUUUUCGGUGUGGGAUGGGCUCGCGGCCUAUCAGCUUGUUGGUGGGGUAAUGGCCUACCAAGGCGUCGACGGGUAGCCGGCCUGAGAGGGUGUACGGCCACCUUGGGCCUGAGGUACGGCCCAGACUCCUACGGGGGGCAGCAGUGGGGAAUAUUGCACAAUGGGCGCACGCCUGAUGCAGCGACGCCGCGUGGGGGAUGACGGCCUUCGGGGUGUAAACUGCUUUCGCUAGAGACGAAGCGCAAGUGACGGUACCUGGAGAAGAAGCACCGGCUAACUACGUG